CCUACGGGGGGCAGCAGUGGGGGAUAUUGGACAAUGGGGGGAACCCUGAUCCAGCGACGCCGCGUGAGUGAAGAAGUAUUUCGGUAUGUAAAGCUCUGUCAGCAGGGAAGAAAGAAAUGACGGUACCUGACCAAGAAGCCCCGGCUAACUACGUGCCAGCAGCCGCGGUAAUACGUAGGGGGCAAGCGUUAUCCGGAAUUACUGGGUGUAAAGGGAGCGUAGACGGUUAAGUAAGUCUGGAGUGAAAGGCCGGGGCCCAACCCCGGGACUGCUCUGGAAACUAUUGAACUUGAGUGCAGGGGAGGUAAGCGGAAUGCCUAGUGUAGCGGUGAAAUGCGUAGAUAUUAGGAGGAACACCAGUGGCGAAGGCGGCUUACUGGACUGUAACUGACGUUGAGGCUCGAAAGCGUGGGGAGCAAACAGGAUUAGAUACCCGGGUAGUC
Molecule: ribosomal RNA, 443 nt
Filed under: uncultured bacterium
Lineage: Bacteria
Description: partial 16S ribosomal RNA
Rfam family: Bacterial small subunit ribosomal RNA
Source: RNAcentral